GACGAACGCUGGCGGCGUGCUUAACACAUGCAAGUCGAACGGAAAGGCCCUGCUUUUGUGGGGUGCUCGAGUGGCGAACGGGUGAGUAACACGUGAGUAACCUGCCCCUGUCUUUGGGAUAACUUCUGGAAAAUGGGGCUAAUACCGGAUAGGAGCUCCUGCUGCAUGUUGGUGGUUGGAAAGUUUCGGCGGUUGUGGAUGGACUGGCGGCUUAUCAGCUUGUUGGUGGGGUAGUGGCUUACCAAGGCUUUGAAGGGUAGCCGGCCUGGGAGGGUGACCGGCCACAUUGGUACUACGAUACGGACCAGACUCGUACGGGAGGCAGCAGUGGGGAAUAUUGCACAAUGGGCGGAAGCCUGAUGCAGCAACGCCGCGUGCGGGAUGACGGCUUUCGGGUUGUAAACCGCUUUGGCCUGUGACGAAGCGUGAGUGACGGUAAUGGGUAAAGAAGCACCGGCUAACUACGUG
This 468-nucleotide ribosomal RNA is filed under the name uncultured bacterium. RNAcentral describes it as "partial 16S ribosomal RNA". It matches the Rfam family "Bacterial small subunit ribosomal RNA", at positions 28 to 507 of the family's 1533-position model. The record is from RNAcentral.